AUACGGAGGUUGCAAGCGUUACUCGGAAUCACUGGGCGUAAAGCGCGCGCAGGCGGCUUGAUAAGUUGGAUGUGAAAGCCUACGGCUCAACCGUAGAACUGCAUCCAAAACUGUCAAGCUAGAGUCUGGGAGGGGAAGAUGGAAUUAGUUGUGUAGGGGUAAAAUCCGUAGAGAUAACUAGGAAUACCAAAAGCGAAGGCGAUCUUCUGGAACAGUACUGACGCUGAGGCGCGAAAGCGUGGGGAGCAAACAGGAUUAGAAACCCUAGUAGUCC
RNAcentral lists this ribosomal RNA (274 nucleotides) under uncultured bacterium. RNAcentral describes it as "partial 16S ribosomal RNA". It matches the Rfam family "Bacterial small subunit ribosomal RNA", at positions 523 to 796 of the family's 1533-position model. The record is from RNAcentral.